Camelus ferus (Wild Bactrian camel) is the source of this 71-nucleotide transfer RNA. It matches the Rfam family "tRNA". Rfam says of the family: Transfer RNA (tRNA) molecules are approximately 80 nucleotides in length. Their secondary structure includes four short double-helical elements and three loops (D, anti-codon, and T loops). Lineage: Eukaryota; Metazoa; Chordata; Mammalia; Artiodactyla; Camelidae. The record is from Rfam.
GAGGGUGUAACUUAGUGGUAGAGCGUGUGCUUAGCAUGCAGGAGGUCCUGGGUUCAAUCCCCAGUGCCUCA